GACUAGCUCAGUUGGUUAGAGCAUGUCGCUGAUAACUCCAAGGUCGCAGGUUUGAUUCCCUUAAGGGACA
RNAcentral lists this transfer RNA (70 nucleotides) under Podarcis lilfordi (Lilford's wall lizard). RNAcentral describes it as "tRNA.Ile". The record is from RNAcentral. Lineage: Eukaryota; Metazoa; Chordata; Lepidosauria; Squamata; Lacertidae.